CGUGUUAUAGCUCAGUGGAAGAGCAUCUGCCUGGCAUGCACAGGCCCUGGGUUUGAUACCCAGCACCACCA
Mus musculus (house mouse) is the source of this 71-nucleotide non-coding RNA. The record is from Rfam. Lineage: Eukaryota; Metazoa; Chordata; Mammalia; Rodentia; Muridae.